This 468-nucleotide ribosomal RNA is filed under the name uncultured bacterium. RNAcentral's name for it is "partial 16S ribosomal RNA". It matches the Rfam family "Bacterial small subunit ribosomal RNA", at positions 28 to 507 of the family's 1533-position model. The record is from RNAcentral.
GACGAACGCUGGCGGCGUGCUUAACACAUGCAAGUCGAACGGAAAGGCCCUGCUUUUGUGGGGUGCUCGAGUGGCGAACGGGUGAGUAACACGUGAGUAACCUGCCCUUGACUUUGGGAUAACUUCAGGAAACUGGGGCUCAUACCGGAUAGGAGCUCCUGCUGCAUGGUGGGGGUUGGAAAGUUUCGGCGGUUGGGGAUGGACUCGCGGCUUAUCAGCUUGUUGGUGGGGUAGUGGCUUACCAAGGCUUUGACGGGUAGCCGGCCUGAGAGGGUGACCGGCCACAUUGGGACUGAGAGACGGCCCAGACUCCUACGGGAGGCAGCAGCGGGGAGUAUGGCAGAAUGGGCGGAAGCGUGAUGCAGCAACGCCGCGUGCGGGAUGACGGCCUUCGGGUUGUAAACCGCUGUCGCCUGUGACGAGGCGUGAGUGACGGUAAUGGGUAAAGAAGCACCGGCUAACUACGUG